Molecule: long non-coding RNA, 502 nt
Organism: Mesocricetus auratus (golden hamster)
Lineage: Eukaryota; Metazoa; Chordata; Mammalia; Rodentia; Cricetidae
Exons: 4
Source: RefSeq, a predicted model, not a curated record
GGCCAUGCACCGGUCUAUGAGUAUAGCAGAAUAUCUUUAGAAAUCAUGUUAUUGGUUUAUUUUUUUCUAUCCUAGGUCUCCAGGCUAUCUGGUCCCCCUGGAGCUCUGAAAACCCUGUGGAAGAGAGGGAGGAAGAAUUGUAGGCACCAGAGGGGUUGAGGACACCAGGAGAACACAGCCUGCAGAAUCAACUAGCAUGGCUCACAGAAGGCUGAAGUGAUAAUCACUGCUCGACUGCAUGGGGGUGGCUGUGAAGAGACUAUUGGCAGCCAGAAGAGAUGUGAAAUGUUCCCCCAAAGCUCGAGUGACUCAACAUUUGGUCCAUAGAUAUCUCAGCACAUGGCUAUGGCUCCCAGGUCUUCUGAACUGGUCCACAGCAAGAUUGUUGGAGAGUUUGGAAUUGUAGGUGUGCGGAUGUGUUUGUAUCUAAUCCAGGGUCUGAAUAGGAGCCCCCACUAUGCAGGAGUCCCCUUCAGAAACUGGCUGCAUUUGAAUUUUAAAG